This 254-nucleotide ribosomal RNA is filed under the name uncultured bacterium. Its description in RNAcentral is "partial 16S ribosomal RNA". It matches the Rfam family "Bacterial small subunit ribosomal RNA", at positions 524 to 776 of the family's 1533-position model. The record is from RNAcentral.
GACGUAGGAGGCGAGCGUUUGUCCGGAUUCAUUGGGCGUAAAGAGCACGCAGGCGGUUUGGCAAGUCGGACGUGAAAAUCCGGGGCUCAACCCCGGACCUGCAUCCGAAACUGCCCGACUAGAGGUAGGUAGGGGAGAUCGGAAUUCCUGGUGUAGCGGUGAAAUGCGCAGAUAUCAGGAGGAACACCCAUAGCGAAGGCAGCUUGCUGGGACGUUACUGACGCUAAGGCGCGAAAGCGUGGGGAGCGAACAGG